This 194-nucleotide ribosomal RNA is filed under the name uncultured bacterium. Its description in RNAcentral is "partial 16S ribosomal RNA". It matches the Rfam family "Bacterial small subunit ribosomal RNA", at positions 338 to 524 of the family's 1533-position model. The record is from RNAcentral.
CCUACGGGAGGCAGCAGUGGGGAAUAUUGCACAAUGGGCGCAAGCCUGAUGCAGCCAUGCCGCGUGUAUGAAGAAGGCCUUCGGGUUGUAAAGUACUUUCAGCGAGGAGGAAGGCAUAAAGCUUAAUACGCUUUGUGAUUGACGUUACUCGCAGAAGAAGCACCGGCUAACUCCGUGCCAGCAGCCGCGGUAAU